GAUUCCUUAACUUCAUUUGUUGCUCCUUUGUCAAUGUCCUUAUACCAUGGAAGUCCUGGUGAAUUAUCACAUACUCCUAAUGUGCUGAGAAAUACCACUUUCAGGACACUGAGAUAUAAAACCACUUAAAAGCCACUCUCUCAACACCUUCUCUGUUGUCUCUGAAGAAUGGACCUUCUACUCUUGGUGCUGUGUCCCAGGGAAGCAAUGGACAUGAAAUCCUCCUAUGUAGGCUGAGAACUUAUCCCCUAGAAAUUAUUUCCCCAGAAAAGCAAAUAUACUUUUGACGGAGCUCUUUAACACUACUAUCAUUCAGUAACAUUUUCAAUGAAACCAUCUUUUGUUAACUCUCUGGGGUACUGACACCAUUUAAUUCACUGAGAACAGAUAAUAAACAGAACAUUUAAUUCACUGGGAGAAAAUAAACAGAAAGCCUAAUUCCACUUGGCUGAAUCUGCCUAAGUCCAACUUUUG
This 474-nucleotide long non-coding RNA is filed under the name Homo sapiens (human). Its description in RNAcentral is "HSALNT0328538". The record is from RNAcentral. Lineage: Eukaryota; Metazoa; Chordata; Mammalia; Primates; Hominidae.